This 67-nucleotide ribosomal RNA is filed under the name Betaproteobacteria bacterium. RNAcentral describes it as "partial 23S ribosomal RNA". The record is from RNAcentral. Lineage: Bacteria; Pseudomonadati; Pseudomonadota; Betaproteobacteria.
GUGGAAGUGUAGUAAUACAUUAAGCUAACCAGUACUAAUUGCCCGUGAGGCUUGACUCUAUAACCUU